This 30-nucleotide non-coding RNA is filed under the name Homo sapiens (human). Lineage: Eukaryota; Metazoa; Chordata; Mammalia; Primates; Hominidae. The record is from RNAcentral.
UCUGAAUGCAGCUGCCUGUCCACAGGAUGC